Molecule: ribosomal RNA, 545 nt
Filed under: uncultured Glomeromycotina
Lineage: Eukaryota; Fungi; Glomeromycota
Description: SSU rRNA
Rfam family: Eukaryotic small subunit ribosomal RNA
Source: RNAcentral
UUGGAGGGCAGUCUGGUGCCAGCAGCCGCGGUAAUUCCAGCUCCAUAGCGUAUAUUAAGUUGUUGCAGUUAAAAAGCUCGUAGUUGAAUUUCGGGAUCAAUUUGUCGGUCGUGCCUCGGUACGUACUGGCAUUAUUGAUUUCUCCCUUCUGAAGAACCGCGAUGUCAUUAAUUUGGUGUCGUGGGGAAUCAGGACUGUUACUUUGAAAAAAUUAGAGUGUUUAAAGCAGGCGCACGCUUGAAUACAUUAGCAUGGAAUAAUGAAAUAGGACGUUUGAUUCUAUUUUGUUGGUUUCUAGGAUCGACGUAAUGAUUAAUAGGGAUAGUUGGGGGCAUUAGUAUUCAAUUGUCAGAGGUGAAAUUCUUGGAUUUAUUGAAGACUAACUACUGCGAAAGCAUUUGCCAAGGAUGUUUUCAUUAAUCAAGAACGAAAGUUAGGGGAUCGAAGACGAUCAGAUACCGUCGUAGUCUUAACCAUAAACUAUGCCGACUAGGGAUCGGAUGAUGUUAAUUUUUUAAUGACUCAUUCGGCGCCUUACGGGAAAC